CUUACCGGGUCCGGACACACUGAGGAUUGACAGGCAAUAUAUGGUUACUUCGGUAGUCAUUGUUAAAUAUGCUAGUCCUUUCAUGAUUAUGUGAUAGGUGGUGCAUGGCCGUUCUUAGUUCGUGGAGUGAUCUGUCUGCUUAAUUGCGUUUCACUUAUUUUAUAGGAUCUAAUAUUAAUGAUGUGUGAGCGACUCGCAUGCUCUUGACCCACACUUG
RNAcentral lists this ribosomal RNA (217 nucleotides) under Tenuitellita iota. RNAcentral's name for it is "Tenuitella iota partial small subunit ribosomal RNA". It matches the Rfam family "Eukaryotic small subunit ribosomal RNA", at positions 1214 to 1395 of the family's 1831-position model. Lineage: Eukaryota; Foraminifera; Rotaliida; Candeinidae. The record is from RNAcentral.